This 427-nucleotide ribosomal RNA is filed under the name uncultured bacterium. RNAcentral's name for it is "bacterial SSU rRNA". It matches the Rfam family "Bacterial small subunit ribosomal RNA", at positions 355 to 774 of the family's 1533-position model. The record is from RNAcentral.
UAGGGAAUCUUCCACAAUGGGCGAAAGCCUGAUGGAGCAACGCCGCGUGUGUGAUGAAGGCUUUCGGGUCGUAAAGCACUGUUGUAUGGGAAGAACAGCUAGAGUAGGGAAUGACUUUAGUUUGACGGUACCAUACCAGAAAGGGACGGCUAAAUACGUGCCAGCAGCCGCGGUAAUACGUAUGUCCCGAGCGUUAUCCGGAUUUAUUGGGCGUAAAGCGAGCGCAGACGGUUGAUUAAGUCUGAUGUGAAAGCCCGGAGCUCAACUCCGGAAAGGCAUUGGAAACUGGUCAACUUGAGUGCAGUAGAGGUAAGUGGAACUCCAUGUGUAGCGGUGGAAUGCGUAGAUAUAUGGAAGAACACCAGCGGCGAAGGCGGCUUACUGGACUGUAACUGACGUUGAGGCUCGAAAGUGUGGGUAGCAAACA